Molecule: long non-coding RNA, 242 nt
Organism: Papilio machaon (common yellow swallowtail)
Lineage: Eukaryota; Metazoa; Arthropoda; Insecta; Lepidoptera; Papilionidae
Exons: 3
Source: RefSeq, a predicted model, not a curated record
CAAUGUUACUAUAAUGAGUACAAAGGCGUUUGUACGACUCCAAGAAAAUGUCAAUCAUCUGUAAAUUUACCGGAUUGUCCGAAUGGACGUAGAAAGAGAUUGGUUUGCUGCGCCAUCUCUCGAUACCAACCGACAACCACUGACAGAACAAUAGCAACACAACGGACAACUCCUCAAGUUAAUCAAAAUGGAUGUCCUGCUGUGUCACCAGAGUUAACUUCGCGCAAAACUGGCAGAAAAGC